AACGAACGCUGGCGGCAGGCUUAACACAUGCAAGUCGAGCGCCCCGCAAGGGGAGCGGCAGACGGGUGAGUAACGCGUGGGAACGUACCAUUUGCUACGGAAUAACUCAGGGAAACUUGUGCUAAUACCGUAUGAGCCCGAAAGGGGAAACGAUUUAUCGGCAAAUGAUCGGCCCGCGUUGGAUUAGCUAGUUGGUGGGGUAAAGGCCUACCAAGGCGACGAUCCAUAGCUGGUCUGAGAGGAUGAUCAGCCACACUGGGACUGAGACACGGCCCAGACUCCUACGGGAGGCAGCAGUGGGGAAUAUUGGACAAUGGGCGCAAGCCUGAUCCAGCCAUGCCGCGUGAGUGAUGAAGGCCCUAGGGUUGUAAAGCUCUUUCACC
Molecule: ribosomal RNA, 383 nt
Filed under: bacterium SP12
Lineage: Bacteria
Description: bacterial SSU rRNA
Rfam family: Bacterial small subunit ribosomal RNA
Source: RNAcentral